GGCUCCACAGUGCAGUGGUUAGCAAGUCUGCUUUACAUGCAGAAGGUCCUGGGUUCGUGCCCCAGGUGGAGCCA
This is a non-coding RNA of Pteropus alecto (black flying fox), 74 nucleotides long. NCBI's taxonomy places the organism in Eukaryota, Metazoa, Chordata, Mammalia, Chiroptera, Pteropodidae. The record is from Rfam.